UACGUAGGGUGCAAGCGUUGUCCGGAAUUAUUGGGCGUAAAGAGCUCGUAGGCGGUCUGUCGCGUCUGCUGUGAAAACUCAGGGCUUAACCCUGAGCUUGCAGUGGGUACGGGCAGACUAGAGUGCGGUAGGGGAGACUGGAAUUCCUGGUGUAGCGGUGAAAUGCGCAGAUAUCAGGAGGAACACCGGUGGCGAAGGCGGGUCUCUGGGCCGUAACUGACGCUGAGGAGCGAAAGCAUAGGGAGCGAACAGG
RNAcentral lists this ribosomal RNA (253 nucleotides) under uncultured bacterium. RNAcentral's name for it is "partial 16S ribosomal RNA". It matches the Rfam family "Bacterial small subunit ribosomal RNA", at positions 524 to 776 of the family's 1533-position model. The record is from RNAcentral.